GCGGCUUUAGCUCACUUGGGAGAGCGCCAGACUGAAGUCCACUUCAGAUCAUUAACUUGAAAAAAAGUUUAUCUGGAGGCACUGUGUUCGAUCCACAGAAGCCGCA
Cadophora sp. MPI-SDFR-AT-0126 is the source of this 106-nucleotide non-coding RNA. Lineage: Eukaryota; Fungi; Ascomycota; Leotiomycetes; Helotiales; Ploettnerulaceae. The record is from the annotation of a GenBank genome assembly.